GACGAACGCUGGCGGCGUGCCUAAUACAUGCAAGUAGAACGCUGAAGGAGGAGCUUGCUUCUCUGGAUGAGUUGCGAACGGGUGAGUAACGCGUAGGUAACCUGCCUGGUAGCGGGGGAUAACUAUUGGAAACUAUAGCUAAUACCGCAUAAUAGUAGAUGUUGCAUGACAUUUGCUUAAAAGGUGCAAUUGCAUCACUACCAGAUGGACCUGCGUUGUAUUGGCUAGUUGUUGUGGUAACGGCUCACCAAGGCGACGAUACAUAGCCGACCGGAGAGGGGGAGUAGCCGCACUGGGACGGUGACCCGGCACAGAGUGCUAGGGGAGGCAGCAGUACGGCAUCGGGGGGAAGGGGUGGAAGAUUGAGCGAGAUAGGCGGAGGGCGUGAGGAACGUUUUCGGAUGGGGAAGCUCGGUUGUCAGAGAAGAAAGCGUGUGAGAGUGGAAAGUUCACUCUGUGACGGUAACUGACAAGAAAGGGACGGCUAACUACGUG
Molecule: ribosomal RNA, 495 nt
Filed under: uncultured bacterium
Lineage: Bacteria
Description: partial 16S ribosomal RNA
Rfam family: Bacterial small subunit ribosomal RNA
Source: RNAcentral